GGCAGAGUACAGUAGGCUGACCUUGAGCUUAUUCAUCCACCUACUGGUCACCAAAUAUAGGUAAAUUCCCAGCAUUGUUUGCCUGACAUGAUUUUAUUGAUCCAAUUUCUUUUGUAAUUCCUGAUGAUAGGUGGACAAAAAUCAAGGAAGGGGAAAUUAGAAGAGCUCCUAUGUUAGGAUUCGGAGAUGGCAUCCACUUUAAAUUCAGUGAGAAGGAAUAGAGAGAAAACCAUUUCCGUCAAAUAUACAUUCUUAUCUAUGUCAUUGAUGUAUAUGCAGUCAUCUCAAAUAUUUCUGC
RNAcentral lists this unclassified non-coding RNA (298 nucleotides) under Hevea brasiliensis (rubber tree). Lineage: Eukaryota; Viridiplantae; Streptophyta; Magnoliopsida; Malpighiales; Euphorbiaceae. The record is from RNAcentral.